UACGUAGGGUGCGAGCGUUGCCCGGAUUUAUUGGGCGUAAAGGGCGCGUAGGCGGUGAGAUGCGUCCGUUGUGAAAUCGCCCGGCUCAACUGGGCGGGGUCAGCGGAUACGGUCUCACUUGAGCAAGCUAGGGGGCAAUGGAAUUCCCGGUGUAGUGGUGGAAUGCGUAGAUAUCGGGAGGAACACCAGUGGCGAAAGCGGCCCACUGGACCUUCUCUGACGCUGAGGUGCGAAAGCUAGGGUAGCAAACGGG
RNAcentral lists this ribosomal RNA (253 nucleotides) under uncultured bacterium. RNAcentral describes it as "partial 16S ribosomal RNA". It matches the Rfam family "Bacterial small subunit ribosomal RNA", at positions 524 to 776 of the family's 1533-position model. The record is from RNAcentral.